AUACGUAGGUGGCAAGCGUUGUCCGGAUUUACUGGGUGUAAAGGGCGUGUAGGCGGAAUGGCAAGUCAGAUGUGGAAUACGGGAGCUUAACUCCCGGGCUGCAUUUGAAACUGCUGUUCUUGAGUGAUGGAGAGGUAAGCGGAAUUCCCGGUGUAGCGGUAAAAUGCGUAGAUAUCGGGAGGAACACCAGUGGCGAAGGCGGCUUACUGGACAUUAACUGACGCUGAGGCGCGAAAGUGUGGGGAGCAAACAGGAUUAGAUACCCUGGUAGUCCACACUGUAAACGAUGGAUACUAGGUGUGGGGGGACUGACCCCUUCCGUGCCGGAGUCAACACAAUAAGUAUCCCACCUGGGGAGUACGGUCGCAAGAUUAA
This 375-nucleotide ribosomal RNA is filed under the name uncultured bacterium. Its description in RNAcentral is "bacterial SSU rRNA". It matches the Rfam family "Bacterial small subunit ribosomal RNA", at positions 523 to 897 of the family's 1533-position model. The record is from RNAcentral.